AUGAUGCGGGCUGGACUCCCCCCAGCAGUGCGUUGCUUUGCGGCGUGCGCUGUUGGGGCCAGCCUUGCUGAAUUAUUCACCCGUGUCUUUUGCGUACUUCUUGUUUCCUUGGUGGGUUCGCCCACCACAAGGACAAACCAUAAACCUUUUGUAAUUGCAAUCAGCGUCAGUAACAAUAAUAAUAAUUACAACUUUCAACAACGGAUCUCUUGGUUCUGGCAUCGAUGAAGAACGCAGCGAAAUGCGAUAAGUAGUGUGAAUUGCAGAAUUCAGUGAAUCAUCGAAUCUUUGAACGCACAUUGCGCCCUUUGGUAUUCCAAAGGGCAUGCCUGUUCGAGCGUCAUUUGUACCCUCAAGCUUUGCUUGGUGUUGGGCGUCUUGUCUCCAGUUCGCUGGGGACUCGCCUUAAAGUUAUUGGCAGCCGGCCUACUGGUUUCGGAGCGCAGCACAAGUCGCGCUCUCUUCCAGCCAAGGUCAGCAUCCACAAAGCCUUUUUUCAACUUUUGACCUCGGAUCAGGUAGGGAUACCCGCUGAACUUAAGCAUAUCAAUAACG
Molecule: ribosomal RNA, 555 nt
Filed under: Alternaria obovoidea
Lineage: Eukaryota; Fungi; Ascomycota; Dothideomycetes; Pleosporales; Pleosporaceae
Description: eukaryotic LSU rRNA
Rfam family: 5.8S ribosomal RNA (bases 190-343)
Source: RNAcentral